Molecule: ribosomal RNA, 505 nt
Filed under: uncultured bacterium
Lineage: Bacteria
Description: partial 16S ribosomal RNA
Rfam family: Bacterial small subunit ribosomal RNA
Source: RNAcentral
AACGAACGCUGGCGGCGUGGAUAAGACAUGCAAGUCGAACGGGACAUUUUUAGUAGUAAUAUUAGAGAUGUUCAGUGGCGAACGGGUGCGUAACACGUGGAUACAUUCCGGAAAGCGGGGGAUAGCCCAGGGAAACUUGGAUUAAUACCGCAUGUGGUCGCAAGACUAAAGACGGGGAUCGAAAGACCUGUCACUUUCCGAUUGGUCCGCGGCCUAUCAGCUAGUUGGCGGGGUAAAAGCCCACCAAGGCGACGACGGGUAGCUGGUCUUAGAGGACGACCAGCCACACUGGAACUGAGACACGGUCCAGACACCUACGGGUGGCAGCAGUCGAGAAUCUUUCACAAUGGGGGCAACCCUGAUGGAGCGACGCCGCGUGGAGGAUAAGGUCUUCGGAUUGUAAACUCCUGUCAUGCGAGAACAAGGUUGCAGGGCUAAUACCCGUGCAAAUUGAUGGUACCGCAAGAGGAAGAGACGGCUAACUCUGUGCCAGCAGCCGCCGUAA